UUCUCAAAACCAGUUGACUCUACACAAAAAUUGAUAGAAACCAUUCUUGUAGAACGCGAUCCAUUCUACAAUUUUUGCCUCUACACUUUUUACCAUUUGUCCAAUAGUAACUGAGAUAUUUAAAGAAUUGUCUAAUCACAGGCAGUAGACCGUGGAAAAAUCUUAAGAUCCAAGUUUCUCAAAAACAGUUGACUCUACACAAAAAUUGAUAGGAACCAUUCUUGUAGAACGCGAUCCAUUCUACAAUUUUUGCCUCUACACUUUUUACCAUUUGUCCAAUAGUAACUGAGAUAUCUAAAGAAUUGUCUAAUCACAGGCAGUAUGCAGUGGAAAAAUCUUAAGAUCCAAGUUUCUCAAAAACAGUUGACUCUACACAAAAAUUGAUAGGAACCAUUCUUGUAGAACGCGAUCCAUUCUACAAUUUUUGCCUCUACACUUUUUGCCAUUUGUCCAAUAGUAACUGAGAUAUCUAAAGAAUUGUCUAAUCACAGGCAGUAUGCAGUGGAAAAAUCUUAAGGUCCAAAUUUCCCAAAACCAGUUGACUCUACACAAAAAUUGAUAGAAACCAUUCUUGUAGAACGCGAUCCAUUCUACAAUUUUUGCCUCUACACUUUUUGCCAUUUGUCCAAUAGUAACUGAGAUAUCUAAAGAAUUGUCUAAUCACAGGCAGUAGACCGUGGAAAAAUCUUAAGAUCCAAGUUUCUCAAAACCAGUUGACUCUACACAAAAAUUGAUAGAAACCAUUCUUGUAGAACGCGAUCCAUUC
This is a long non-coding RNA of Anthonomus grandis grandis, 766 nucleotides long. RefSeq lists it as uncharacterized. Lineage: Eukaryota; Metazoa; Arthropoda; Insecta; Coleoptera; Curculionidae. The transcript has 3 exons. The record is from RefSeq and is a predicted model, not a curated record.